This 472-nucleotide long non-coding RNA is filed under the name Trifolium pratense (red clover). RNAcentral describes it as "long non-coding RNA (TPRA_LNC013137)". The record is from RNAcentral. Lineage: Eukaryota; Viridiplantae; Streptophyta; Magnoliopsida; Fabales; Fabaceae.
GCUCUAUCCCGUUAGUAAGUAAACCCAAUCGAAUUCAUUUGUUCGGACAAUUAAUUCGAACUAAAAUUUUGGCCAGAUCCAAUACGAAUGAUAAAUUUAAAGAAUUCGCCAUUGAUACGAUAUGCUGCCUUUUCCAGUGAUUCCUUUAUGGAUGACUUGUGGUAAAAAAACCCCACCGAAGGUAUUUAAAGAAUUUGCCAUUGAUACGAUAUGCUGCUUUUUCCAUUCAUUCCUUUAUGGAUCAUUUGUGGUGGAAAAACAAACCCUGCCGAAGGUAUGGAUGAACCAAUUAGAAUAGAACAUUGUAUAUUAUUUUCAUUAGAAUUAUAUAGAAUUUUAUUUUAUUAUUAUUCUAUUAUAAUAAUAAAAAUCUGUGAAAUAUUUUUCGAUUUUGAUUCUUGCAAUUUCUGAUUAUAUGUGUUAGAAUAAUAUUAUAUAUUAAUUCUGAAUUUUCUUAUUUCUUAUUCGAUCU